AACCUUAUGGACCUGCGGGCGUAUACCUGCGGAAGGAUCAUUACCUUUUGCUUAUAACACUCCCUAGGCAUGGCCUUGGGGUUUGUUGUGGCAAUAAACCCUUGUUUACUCCUACCUUUGUUUAUCCUUUGGCAGGCUUAGGUCUGCCAUUGGACCUACACAAACCUCUCUAUAGCAGCCUAUCUGAGUAUUAUGGUAAUUAUUAUAACUUUUAGCAACGGAUCUCAGAUCGGAAGAGCA
RNAcentral lists this unclassified non-coding RNA (240 nucleotides) under soil metagenome. RNAcentral describes it as "partial contains 5.8S ribosomal RNA, internal transcribed spacer 2, and large subunit ribosomal RNA". The record is from RNAcentral.